UCGAGAGUGGCACCUUUACCGUAGAUGAAUUCCAACGUCGCUGGCGACUCCAGCGGCGACGGCCGCUCUGAAAGCCUCAGCCGAGGCGGUGCCAGCACCACAAGUUCUGCUUCUUCAGCCCCGCCCGUCACGGUGACCUUCGUUACGAAUGGACAGGAGUUUGCGGCGGCCUUCGAGUGCGAAGGUAGCACCUUCAGCGUCAGCGGCAGCGGCAGCAACAUCACCACAGGUCAUAGCAGAGGCGGUGAUGCCUUUGUCUUGUGCUACGAGCAUCCCGGCGACGGCGUCACGGCAGAACACCUUCUGCAAUUCAAAAACAGCGUUACGGCCGCCGCGCAGCAAUACGGAGCGCGACUUCGUCUCUUUGUCUGGGACUGCACCAGCCCCUCCUUCGCCGCUGCCCGCGUCCAGCUUGGCAAACGCCACGGUCAUCCACUGCUGUUAGUCGUCGUCAAAGGUGCUGUCGCCGACACGCUUCGUGACAUGCCACUCACGGAGAUGAGUGCGACAGAGGUGCCGCGGGUAUGCAGCCGGCUUGCAUCUUUUCAAUCCUCUGCGAAGCCAGCUCGCGUCUCCACCAUCGUGACUGCCACGUCGACAGCAGAGAGCAGUGGUGCGGCAUCGCCACCGCAGGAGGAGGCGGAGCAGCACUUGUCGGUGGACGUGGCCAAGAUGGUGGGAAUGGGGAAAAGGCUCAUGGCAGAGCGUCAGCCCUUUUACGCGGAGAAGUUCUUCGUGAAAGCACUGCGAACCCUCGAUGCGGUUGCCGCCGAUGUUGAUCGGCUCGUCGCAUCCCGAGAGGACUACGAUCACAGCGUCGCCCUGUGUCUGGCCUGGGCCGGACUGGCGCAACUGGUGCAGGGCAAGCAAACUGUCGAGAACGCGUACUUGGAGCGCCUUGAGCGAGAGGCGGCGUUGCAGCCCUUUCGCGAUGCGCCACUUAAUGAUGCGAACCGUGCAUUGACCACCUGGCGUUUGAUGCAAGGUGCACCGCGUCCGUGGAGUGAGACGCGAGAUAGCGAGGCGAAGCUGCAAGCGGCACUGUCUUCAAAUGCACACGACACCGUUGCCCGUAGUCUUUUCGUAAUCACAUUGUUCCUUAAAGGAGACCUGGAACGCGCCAUGACGGAGGCGCUGAAGCUGCACGUGUACGGUGACGCCUUUGGCUGCGUGGCCCUCAAGCACAUGUCGCGCUUCCUGGGCAAGGAUCAUGUACUGGUGGAGCGUCUUGGAAUGCCCGCCUUGACGGAGUCGAUUUAGGCGAGGCCGAAGAAUGCAAAUCGGAGACGGCACAGAGACGCCUGCAACUCUCCAUAUCAGAUGAGAAUCUUUACCAAAGAACGAACCAAGGCAACCUUUAUUCCCUCCUAAAAAAAAAGACGACAGAAUGGGUGAAAAGCAAAGGCGAGACGACGUUGCGCUGUGCUUGUGCGCGUAUGUUUGUGCAUGUGUGCCUCUCGCAACUGGGCCAGGCGGUGUGCUGCUGUUCCUCGCUCUCCCCAUGUAUGUGCGUGUGUGUGCCCCGGGCCUCGCCCUUCACGUUGCCCUCCUGUGACAUGUAGGCCUGUGUGUGUGGGCGGUGGGAGCGGAGAGGAGGAGUUGGCGGACUGAUGGCGGCUUCACCUGUUUCAAGAUGCGGAUGUCAAUGCAGUCGAACCGAAGACAAUAUACCCGCCGCGGCUGCUGCUGCCCACUUCUUUCCCUGACCACUCUCUUGCUGCGUGUGUGGCGCGUGUGUAUGUCGGCUCUUACACCUCCGCUGUUCUCUCGCUAUCCUCCCUUUUCCCUCGUGUGUGCCGCGCCAG
Molecule: unclassified non-coding RNA, 1805 nt
Filed under: Leishmania donovani
Lineage: Eukaryota; Euglenozoa; Kinetoplastea; Trypanosomatida; Trypanosomatidae
Description: gene:LdHU3.22.1790(CDS-product:hypothetical_prote in_conserved)
Source: RNAcentral